UUUAAAAAAAAAAAAAAGAAAGAAAAGGAAAGAGUCAUUGAUUACUCUUGAUCCUUAGGACUUUUAGCUGCACCUGGUGUGACCACCUCAUUCUUCCCAGCAGGCUGACUACUUUAUUCUCUACCCACUCACUUCACCAGAUUGGUAAGAAGAGGAAGUCAGCUGACAAUGAAAGCCACUGUGAGCCUGGCAACAGUCAGAGUGCCUCAAUGCAGCUGUUAUUAUUAUCACAACUCUCAUGGAAGCAGGAGAGAUGGAUCCCAGAGCAACUGGCUGACUCAAGGGGAAUCUUGGUAAAACCUGGUCAGUCUUGAUCUGGAAGGAAGACUGAAGCAGCUCAAGGAUAUCAGGCGUGUGCCCCGGGCGGUGCUGCCAAUGAGUGCUUGAAGUUCAAUGACCAUGUGCUAGGAAAAUGCAUUCAGCAAGAGAAACAGGACAUCUCCUGCUUCCAGUAGAAUUCAUUUCGAGUUGGGACUUUAUAGAGCUCCCUCCACAGUGAAGUCCCUGCAGGAUCUUAUUAUAAGAGGACCUCGUUUUCAUCUUGCUUCCACAGACAACUCCUAUGAUGCCGUUUUCUGAGGCUCUAGAGUAUAAUCUAUGCAUUUCCUGCCUGCCAAGAAAUUCAGCUCUUUCCUUUCUCA
RNAcentral lists this long non-coding RNA (641 nucleotides) under Equus caballus (horse). RNAcentral describes it as "lncRNA (ENSECAG00000044834.1)". The record is from RNAcentral. Lineage: Eukaryota; Metazoa; Chordata; Mammalia; Perissodactyla; Equidae.